AUUGAACGCUGGCGGCAUGCUUUACACAUGCAAGUCGGACGAGUGGCGAACGGGUGAGUAACGCAUCGGAACGUACCGAGUUUUGGGGGAUAACUGUCCGAAAGGACAGCUAAUACCGCACAUUAUUCGAGCGGCCGAUGUCUGAUUAGCUGGUUGGCGGGGUAAAGGCCCACCAAGGCGACGAUCUGUAGCGGGUCUGAGAGGAUGAUCAGCCCCACUGGGCCUGAGACACGGCCCAGACUCCGACGGGAGGCAGCAGUGGGGAAUUUUGUACAAUGGGCGCUAGCCUGAUCCAGCCAUGCCGCGUGUCGGAAGAAGGCCUUCGGGUUGUAAAGGAAUUUUGUCAGGGAAGCGGUACCUGAAGAAUAAGCACCGGCUAACUACGUGCCAGCCGCCGCGGUAAUUC
RNAcentral lists this ribosomal RNA (406 nucleotides) under uncultured bacterium. RNAcentral's name for it is "partial 16S ribosomal RNA". It matches the Rfam family "Bacterial small subunit ribosomal RNA", at positions 30 to 526 of the family's 1533-position model. The record is from RNAcentral.